RNAcentral lists this non-coding RNA (963 nucleotides) under Grandisonia larvata. Its description in RNAcentral is "12S ribosomal RNA". It matches the Rfam family "Bacterial small subunit ribosomal RNA". Lineage: Eukaryota; Metazoa; Chordata; Amphibia; Gymnophiona; Indotyphlidae. The record is from RNAcentral.
CUAAAAGUUUGGUCCUAGCUUUAGUGUCAACUUUAAUUAACAUUACACAUGCAAGUCUCCGCCUCCCAGUGACAACGCCCUUAUAAUAUAAAUAGGAGCCGAUAUCAGGCACAAUAUACAUUUAUUAGCCUAUGACAUCUAGCACUAGCCACACCCUCAAUGGGCCUGCAGCAGUGAUAAACAUUAAGUAAUAAGCACCAGCUUGACUCAGUUAUAAUUAACAGAAUUGGUAUAUCUUGUGCCAGCCACCGCGGUUAUACAAGAAACUCAAGUUGAUAUUCUACGGCGUAAAGUGUGAUUAAGAGAAAUUUAAAAUACUAAGACUAAUAACCUACUAAGCUGUCAUACGCAUUAGUAUAGUAACACACCCAACAUUACUUAAACGAAAGUGAUCUUAACUAAAAAACUAUUCAAAACUCACGACUGCUAAAACACAAACUGGGAUUAGAUACCCCACUAUGUUUAGCCAUAAAACUUGAACACUUACACCCAUUUCUCCGCCAGAGUAUUACGAGCAAUAGCUUAAAACUCAAAGGACUUGGCGGUGCCUCAAAUCCAUCCAGAGGAGCCUGUUCUAUAAUCGAUAAUCCACGCUUAACCUCACCACCAUUUGAUAAUCCAGCCUAUAUACCACCGUCACCAGCAUGCCUUGUGAAAGAACCACAGCAAGCAAAAACGAAAUCUCCAAAUACGCCAGGUCAAGGUGUAGCAUAUAUGGUGGGAAGAAAUGGGCUACAUUUUCUUCUAAAGACCACACGAAUGACAAAAUGAAAUUACAUCUGAAGGCGGAUUUGGCAGUAAGGCUGGGUAAUCAUACCACCCUUAACCUUGGCCCUGAGGCGCGCACACACCGCCCGUCACCCUCGUCAUUAUCUUAUUUUACCUUAAAUAAAACUUUAUUGAGACACUCAGACGAGGUAAGUCGUAACAAGGUAAGCGCACUGGAAAGUGCUCUUGGAAUAC